CGCCGCGUGGAGGAUGAAGACUUUCGGGUCGUAAACUCCUUUCGGACCGAGAUGAAUUCCCUCCGGCCUAAUACGCCGGAGGGGUGACAGUAUCGAGGGAAGAAGCCCCCGGCUAACUCUGUGCCAGGCAGCCGCGGUAAUACAGGGGGGGCGAGCGUUGUUCGGAAUUACUGGGCGUAAAGGGUUUGUAGGUGGCUUGUUAAGUCAGACGUGAAAUCCCUCAGCUUAACUGGGGAACUGCGUCUGAUACUGGCGAGCUUGAGUGCAGGAGAGGAACGCGGAAUUCCAGGUGUAGCGGUGAAAUGCGUAGAUAUCUGGAGGAACACCGGUGGCGAAGGCGGCGUUCUGGACUGCAACUGACACUGAGAAACGAAAGCCAGGGGAGCAAACGGGAUUAGAUACCCCGGUAGUCCUGGCCCUAAACGAUGAAUGCUUGGUGUGGCGGGUAUCGAUCCCUGCCGUGCCGAAGUUAACGCGUUAAGCAUUCCGCCUGGGGAGUACGGUCGCAAGGCUG
This 514-nucleotide ribosomal RNA is filed under the name uncultured Acidobacteriota bacterium. Its description in RNAcentral is "bacterial SSU rRNA". It matches the Rfam family "Bacterial small subunit ribosomal RNA", at positions 395 to 896 of the family's 1533-position model. The record is from RNAcentral. Lineage: Bacteria; Pseudomonadati; Acidobacteriota.